Episyrphus balteatus (marmalade hoverfly) is the source of this 1750-nucleotide long non-coding RNA. RefSeq lists it as uncharacterized. The transcript has 3 exons. The record is from RefSeq and is a predicted model, not a curated record. Lineage: Eukaryota; Metazoa; Arthropoda; Insecta; Diptera; Syrphidae.
GAUACUUCAAUCAACUGUCGCAAUUUUCAAUUAUUGUUUGUGACAUGCUUAAACGACUUCUCACACUACAAACACGAUCCCUUUUGACAAAUCUUUAAACAUUUCAUCGCAAAAUCCAUACAAUUCCAUUUAAUAUUUUACCAUUCAGACUCUAUCUUCGUUAUUUCGUAUUUUCAAAUGAUAAUUUCACGUGUCUUGAAUAUUGGGCGCCAUAACAGCUUUCAAUUUUCAAUUUUCUCUUAACAAAAAACUGAAAAAAAAAAAAAUAUAUUCGUGCAAAAGCGAGCCUCCAGGGAAUCGAAGAAACACUUUCAUUAUACCCCUUCCUCUUCCAUAUGCUCGUUGUCGUCUUCGUCUCUUUUAAACGUAAUUGAUUUCGUUCUAUCAUGAAAACAACACUCCCACACUAUACCGCCAAGAUAUCGUUUUAGUCAUUUGGAACGCAAAGGACAGAAAAACGAACGAACGAAAAACCCCUUUCAAAAACAAUUCCCAAUUUAUGCAAAAUAUAUAUAUCCUGAUUUUUAGGUUUGAUGUUAGGAAAUAAUCGCACGUGCUCUAUCAGAGUCGCAAGAAAAGCAACAACAAAAAAAGCCUUUAGCAUCAAUGUCGUUUUAGAGUCGUCCUUCGGCUUCGGCUGUAAUGCGAAAAAGGCUUUCGUCUUUGUCACAUACAUUUAAAAAAGGCUUUUGAACCUGGAAUAUCUGGAAUCCACUUCUCUAGACCUAAACGCAUAACAUGUUAACUGAAAACGAUUGAAAUACCAACCACCGAAAACAACAACUGGGACUGAAGACGAUGAUGAUGAUGACGCGAUGACAGAGCGAAACGCAGAAAGGACACACAAAUCGAUGAUGGAACGUAAGAUAUUUCGAAGAGAAGAGAUUAUUUGAACUGAACUGAUGUGCUUGCACGAAUUUGUGUGCGUGAUUUAGUUUGAACAUUCUUCUUAAAGGCUCUUUUCUUUAUGAUACCCGUUCCGUUUAGUUUUUGGGUGCAAAACAAUUCCAACCGAUAUGUGGUGGUGGCGGGAGCCUUAAAAUAAAGAAAAACACUCUACCCAAAAGCUGAUGAUGUUGAUGGGUUGAGGGACCAUUUAAGUGAACCAAGCUCAUAGGGUAUAUGGAAUCAGUUUGGAAUCUGGAAUGUAUAAAAACAACAGAAACCAUUUAUAUUUAUUUUCUGUUAGAUUUUGCAAGAUAACUUAUUUGACUUUCUCCGUGGAAUAGUGAACGUUAUUGAUCAUUAUUUUUAAGCGAAGGUGGCUUUGGUAUCGAUACUAUGAAAGGCGUAAUACAAGAUAUUAGUUUCAUAUUUAUAAUCUGAUGCCAAUUUUACCCGUACUAUAGUGAUAAUUCGGAAUGGGUCCGAAGUUAUCCUAGAAAGAAAUUGAAUAGUCCUUAAGGAAAAUCCACGAAAUGGUAUAUAGACUAUAGUCUACAUCAAAAACUAUAAGAUAAAAAAUAUUGGAUACGUUAGAAGAAGAAAAAAUUCAAAUUAUAUCUUUGGUGGACGUUGUAACCGUAUUUAAUCUUUUUUUUUCUGAGAGAUGGACGACUGAUUCAGAAUUCUUUUUUUUUUUUCGUGAACAGAAAGUCCUUCAAAGGAAAACAAAACAUGUAGUCUUCUCUCCUCUUACCACACAAAAUAAAAAAAAGCCACAAGCUACAAUACUGUUGAACUUAAUUUUAAAUUCAACCAUUUUUACCUUUUUUUUGUACACCAUCAUGUUCCACUUGGAACAUUUGAG